Molecule: ribosomal RNA, 253 nt
Filed under: uncultured bacterium
Lineage: Bacteria
Description: partial 16S ribosomal RNA
Rfam family: Bacterial small subunit ribosomal RNA
Source: RNAcentral
UACGUAGGCAGCAAGCGUUGUUCGGAGUUACUGGGCGUAAAGGGUGCGUAGGCGGCUUUUUAAGUUUGGUGUGAAAUCUCCCGGCUCAACUGGGAGGGUGCGCCGAAUACUGAGAGGCUAGAGUGUGGGAGAGGAAAGUGGAAUUCCUGGUGUAGCGGUGAAAUGCGUAGAUAUCGUAAGGAAGACCAGUGGCGAAGGCGGGUCUCUGGACAGUUCCUGACGCUGAGGCACGAAGGCCAGGGGAGCAAACGGG